UACAGAGGGUGCAAACGUUGCUCGGAAUUAUUGCGCGUAAAGCGCGUGUAGGCGGCCUGUUAAGUUGGUUGUGAAAACCCAUGGCUCAACCAUGGAAGUGCGUCCAAAACUGGCAGGCUAGAGUUCUGACGAGGAUGGCGGAAUUCCCAGUGUAGAGGUGAAAUUCGUAGAUAUUGGGAGGAACACCGGUGGCGAAGGCGGCCAUCUGGGAAGAUACUGACGCUGAGACGCGAAAGCGUGGGGAGCAAACAGG
This 253-nucleotide ribosomal RNA is filed under the name uncultured bacterium. RNAcentral's name for it is "partial 16S ribosomal RNA". It matches the Rfam family "Bacterial small subunit ribosomal RNA", at positions 524 to 776 of the family's 1533-position model. The record is from RNAcentral.